AUUGAACGCUGGCGGCAGGCCUAACACAUGCAAGUCGAGCGAGCGGCGGACGGGUGAGUAAUAUAUGGGGCCUGCCUGAUAGAGGGGGAUAACUACUGGAAACGGUGGCUAAUACCGCAUACUAUCGGAUAACCCAUAUUGGAUUAGCUAGUCGGUGGGGUAAAGGCUCACCUAGGCGACGCUCUCUAGCUGGUCUGAGAGGAUGAUCAGACACACUGGUACUGAGACACGGCCCAGACGCCUACGGAGGCAGCAGUGGGGAAUAUUGCACAAUGGGCGCAAGCCUGAGGCAGCCAUGCCGCGUGUAUGAAGAAGGCCUUAGGGUUGUAAAGUACUUUCAGCGGGGAGGCGUUACCCGCAGAAGAAGCACCGGCUAACUCCGUGCCAGCCGCCGCGGUAAUAC
This 403-nucleotide ribosomal RNA is filed under the name uncultured bacterium. RNAcentral describes it as "partial 16S ribosomal RNA". It matches the Rfam family "Bacterial small subunit ribosomal RNA", at positions 30 to 526 of the family's 1533-position model. The record is from RNAcentral.